GAUGAAGAACGUAGCGAAAUGCGAUAAGUAGUGUGAAUUGCAGAAUUCUGUGAAUCAUCGAAUCUUUGAACGCACAUUGCGCCCCUUGGUAUCCCGAGGGGCAUGCCUGUUCGAGCGUCAUUUCACCACUCAAGCCUGGCUUGGUGUUGGGCGACGUCCUCUUUGGGGACGCGCCUCGAAACGCUCGGCGGCGUGGCACCGGCUUUAAGCGUAGCAGAAUCUUUCGCUUUGGAAGUCGGGGCCCCGUCUGCCGGAAGACCUGCUCGCAAGGUUGACCUCGGAUCAGGCAGGGAUACCCGCUGAACUUAAGCAUAUCAAUAAGCGGAGGA
This 329-nucleotide unclassified non-coding RNA is filed under the name soil metagenome. RNAcentral describes it as "partial contains 5.8S ribosomal RNA, internal transcribed spacer 2, and large subunit ribosomal RNA". The stretch from base 1 to 120 matches the Rfam family "5.8S ribosomal RNA", at positions 35 to 154 of the family's 154-position model. The record is from RNAcentral.